This 661-nucleotide ribosomal RNA is filed under the name uncultured fungus. RNAcentral's name for it is "eukaryotic LSU rRNA". The stretch from base 320 to 473 matches the Rfam family "5.8S ribosomal RNA". The record is from RNAcentral. Lineage: Eukaryota; Fungi.
CGCUACUACCGAUUGAAUGGCUCAGUGAGGCGUCCGGACUGGCCCAGGGAGGUGGGCAACUACCCCCCAGGGCCGGAAAGCUCUCCAAACUCGGUCAUUUAGAGGAAGUAAAAGUCGUAACAAGGUCUCCGUUGGUGAACCAGCGGAGGGAUCAUUACCGAGUUUUCAACUCCCAAACCCUUAUGUGAACCUACCUAUCGUUGCUUCGGCGGACUCGCCCCAGCCGGACGCGGACUGGACCAGCGGCCGCCGGGGACCAUCAAACUCUUGUAUUAUCAGCAUCUUCUGAAUACGCCGCAAGGCAAAACAAAUAAAUUAAAACUUUCAACAACGGAUCUCUUGGCUCUGGCAUCGAUGAAGAACGCAGCGAAAUGCGAUAAGUAAUGUGAAUUGCAGAAUCCAGUGAAUCAUCGAAUCUUUGAACGCACAUUGCGCCCGCCAGCAUUCUGGCGGGCAUGCCUGUUCGAGCGUCAUUUCAACCCUCGACCUCCCUUUGGGGAAGUCGGCGUUGGGGACCGGCAGCACACCGCCGGCCCUGAAAUGGAGUGGCGGCCCGUCCGCGGCGACCUCUGCGUAGUAAACCAACUCGCACCGGAACCCCGACGUGGCCACGCCGUAAAACACCCAACUUCUGAACGUUGACCUCGAAUCAGGUAGGACU